RNAcentral lists this ribosomal RNA (395 nucleotides) under uncultured bacterium. RNAcentral describes it as "partial 16S ribosomal RNA". It matches the Rfam family "Bacterial small subunit ribosomal RNA", at positions 338 to 730 of the family's 1533-position model. The record is from RNAcentral.
CCUACGGGCGGCAGCAGUGAGGAAUAUUGGUCAAUGGACGGAAGUCUGAACCAGCCAUGUCGCGUGCAGGAAGACGGCUCUAUGAGUUGUAAACUGCUUUUGUACAAGGGUAAACCUGAACACGUGUAUUCAGCUGCAAGUACUGUACGAAUAAGGAUCGGCUAACUCCGUGCCAGCAGCCGCGGUAAUACGGAGGAUCCAAGCGUUAUCCGGAUUUAUUGGGUUUAAAGGGUGCGUAGGCGGAGUGAUAAGUUAGAGGUGAAAUGUCCGAGCUUAACUCGGGAACUGCCUCUAAUACUGGUGAUCUAGAGAGUACAAGCGGUAGGCGGAAUGUAUGGUGUAGCGGUGAAAUGCAUAGAGAUCAUACAGAACACCGAUUGCGAAGGCAGCUUACC